GGGUUUAUAUGAGAUGGAAUUGGCUCUUUGCAGAUGAGUUCCUUUCAGUCUCUGGAGGUUGCUCUGAACUCUGUUAGCUCUUCUCUCACUAUCUUUUUCCCCAGGGUUUUUUGGGAGAUGGAAGUCUAGAAUUUAUAACCUGAUUUUUGUGACUUUGUGGGCUCAAAAGAGAGAGGUCCAAGUCCAAGAUUUUUCUAUUAUAUUUUAUUUACUUAUUUAUUUAUUUAUUUAUUUAUUUAUUUUUCGUUUUUUUUUCGAAACGUGUGGGCUUCGCCUAGCGAGCAUGACAGUUCAUGAACAAACUUUUGC
This 309-nucleotide long non-coding RNA is filed under the name Lathyrus oleraceus (garden pea). RNAcentral describes it as "Pisum sativum (pea) long non-coding RNA (PSAT_LNC038286)". The record is from RNAcentral. Lineage: Eukaryota; Viridiplantae; Streptophyta; Magnoliopsida; Fabales; Fabaceae.